AUCCUUCUCCCUCCGUCCGGAAAUACUUGUCGGAGAAAUGGAUGUAUCUAGACAUAUUAUAGUUCUAGAUACAUCUAUUUUUAUCAAUUUCUCCAACAAGUUUUUCCAAGCAGAGGGAGUAUAAU
Non-coding RNA from Triticum aestivum (bread wheat), 125 nucleotides. The record is from Rfam. Lineage: Eukaryota; Viridiplantae; Streptophyta; Magnoliopsida; Poales; Poaceae.